Molecule: ribosomal RNA, 213 nt
Filed under: uncultured Clostridium sp.
Lineage: Bacteria; Bacillati; Bacillota; Clostridia; Eubacteriales; Clostridiaceae
Description: partial 16S ribosomal RNA
Rfam family: Bacterial small subunit ribosomal RNA
Source: RNAcentral
AGACAGNUGGUGCAUGGUUGUCGUCAGCUCGUGUCGUGAGAUGUUGGGUUAAGUCCCGCAACGAGCGCAACCCUUAUCCUUAGUUGCCAGCAAGUUAAGUUGGGCUCUCUGGGGAGAUUGCCAGGGAUAACCUGGAGGAAGGUGGGGAUGACGUCAAUUNAUGAUGCCCCUUAUGAUUUGGGCUACACACGUGCUACANUGGCNUAAACNAAG